This 270-nucleotide ribosomal RNA is filed under the name uncultured archaeon. RNAcentral's name for it is "partial 16S ribosomal RNA". It matches the Rfam family "Archaeal small subunit ribosomal RNA", at positions 477 to 747 of the family's 1478-position model. The record is from RNAcentral.
CAGCGCCACGAGUGGUCGGGACGAUUAUUGGGCCUAAAGCAUCCGUAGCUGGUUCUACAAGUCUUCCGUUAAAUCCACCUGCUUAACAGAUGGGCCGCGGAGGAUACUAUAAGACUAGGAGGCAGGAGAGGCAAGCGGUACUCAGUGGGUAAGGGUAAAAUCCGUUGAUCCAUUGAAGACCACCAGUGGCGAAGGCGGCUUGCCAGAAUGCGCUCGACGGUGAGGGAUGAAAGCUGGGGGAGCAAACCGGAUUAGAUACCCGAGUAGUCC